Molecule: non-coding RNA, 891 nt
Organism: Odocoileus virginianus texanus
Lineage: Eukaryota; Metazoa; Chordata; Mammalia; Artiodactyla; Cervidae
Source: RefSeq, a predicted model, not a curated record
UCCUAGAGUGGUACAUGCCAAUAAAGGCUCACUCUCUGCCUCGUGGGAGACCCCUGUGCUCUCGGAGGGUCAGCCUAGGGCGUCACUUUCCACAGUCAUCAGAUACACUCUUUAGAUAUAUUAGGGUUCUGUAAUCUCUCUAGUUUCGGACUUAGUGAUGUUAUGAAAUCAAGAGACAUAGAAGUCACGGUACCUAAUCUUUCCAUCCAUCUCAUUGGACAACAAGGAAUUGAUGUCUGAAGAACUGCUGUAGACCACUUAAAUAGUAUUCCAAGUGCUCAGUGGAUCUUCAGGCCCCCCAAGGACCACGGAAAGCUGAGGAUGGAUGCCAAAUGCUGGACUCCUUGAUGACGGAAGAGUAGCAGAAAGACAGGUCUUUGGCCAGGGCAUCUAGGGACAACUUUCUCCCAGCAAUUUCUCUUCAAGACCAAGGGGAAGAAGACAAGGUUUGUAGAUAUUCAAGAUUGGUAAUGUCAAAGAUACUCACUAAGCAACAGGAACAGCUCUCUGGGCAAUGUUCUGACACCAUCCAGUACUCAAGUGAUGCAAGGAUGCUUCCAAAGCCCAGCCAGGGUAGAUGCUUUUAUCAAGAACCUUCCUCCUGAGAGCUACCUUCCUGAGUCAGCAGACUACAGUCCCUCCCCCUAGCCCCUCAUCCCCCGCGGAAAGCAUUCAAGGUGUGUGAGGCCCGGGGACUGUGCUCCGAGCCUUGAGACUGCCUCCAGCUGGCAACUUUACCCCUCGAUGCCUGCCCCAUUCCUACUGCUUCCAGAGAUGGCCUCUCCUCUGGCUUUGGAGAUCAUCAGCUCCAACACUGUUCGGACAGUGAUUCAGACACCAAUCUUCCCUUACCGACCUGAUGAAACUGCUGGUAAAGCACUUACGAAGUAU